GGGCCUGUAGCUCAGAGGUCAGAGCAGGCGGCUCAUAACCGCUCGGUCUCAGGUUCGAAUCCUGGCGGGCCCA
This 73-nucleotide transfer RNA is filed under the name Chloroflexota bacterium. RNAcentral describes it as "Chloroflexi bacterium tRNA-Met". It matches the Rfam family "tRNA". Rfam says of the family: Transfer RNA (tRNA) molecules are approximately 80 nucleotides in length. Their secondary structure includes four short double-helical elements and three loops (D, anti-codon, and T loops). Lineage: Bacteria; Bacillati; Chloroflexota. The record is from RNAcentral.